UAGCCAUGAUGUGGGCAAGCAUUUAAAAUCUCCUUGAAUCUUUCCCAGCAUUGGAAAAUAUUUCUUCCUCUUUCUAUGAGAAGUUCAUGAUUGCCUUUCUAAGGGU
Small nucleolar RNA from Magnolia sinica, 106 nucleotides. Lineage: Eukaryota; Viridiplantae; Streptophyta; Magnoliopsida; Magnoliales; Magnoliaceae. The record is from RefSeq and is a predicted model, not a curated record.